CCAUCGGUGAUGGCAUCUUGCUUCUGGACCAUUGGAUGGAACCCUGGAUGAUGAUGCCUUGAUCUGGACCAUUAGAUGUUGCCUAGAUCUGGACCAUUGGCUUUGGUUCACUGCAUUUGGGCCCUUGGAUCAUUAGGAUUUAAGAGGAAGACGUGAGAAAGAAGUUGAUACACCCUUCUCCUUGGCACCCCAUCAUGAUGGGAUGCCUCUCUUGGCACAUGCCUCAUCAUGAUAAGGUGUGUGGAUGGGAUGCAUCCCUUUAUGAUGCAUCCCUCCAUCUCUUAUAAAUAAGGAGGCGCCCU
RNAcentral lists this long non-coding RNA (302 nucleotides) under Phoenix dactylifera (date palm). RNAcentral describes it as "long non-coding RNA (PDAC_LNC013352)". The record is from RNAcentral. Lineage: Eukaryota; Viridiplantae; Streptophyta; Magnoliopsida; Arecales; Arecaceae.